GCUCAAUUCACUACCAGGUUCUGUAGCUGCAUCUCUCUGUGUGUGCUCGGGUGGGGUGGGGACAGAGGUCAUCACUGCGGCAGUGUGGAGCACCCACCCCCAGAAGAGCAAGGCCAAGCAUGCGUGGUGAACUUGGCCUCGAGAAUGGAGACACACUGGGAAAGCGAGGGUUAACUUUUCCAGGCCUGGGACAGCCCGCCUCCUUGUGGAAGAGACCCUGGGCUGGCAGGGUGGGACCAUCUUUGUUCAGCCCCCUGGGUCUAGACAAAGUGGGUCAUUUGGGAUACCUCUGAAUGCCUGGCGUGUUCCACUCAGGUCACUCUGGCUGCUGUGAGGAAACUAAAUUGAAGGGGACAAGACUGGACGGCGAGGGACCAGCUGGGAAGCUCUUGAGAAAUGGUGUGGGGGAACCUGUGACUAUGAUGAGCUGUCACUCCCAUGGUUCCGCUACCUUCCACGGCAAAAAGGAUUUAUCAACUGACUGAGUUC
RNAcentral lists this long non-coding RNA (489 nucleotides) under Equus caballus (horse). RNAcentral's name for it is "lncRNA (ENSECAG00000045322.1)". Lineage: Eukaryota; Metazoa; Chordata; Mammalia; Perissodactyla; Equidae. The record is from RNAcentral.